GACGAACGCUGGCGGCGUGCUUAACACAUGCAAGUCGAAGAUAGUGGCGAACGGGUGAGUAAUACGUGGGUAACCUGCCCUCCUUUUUUGGCUAAUCCUUGGGAACGGGGUCUACUACCGAAUAGAGGGGGAUGGGCUCGCGGCCUAUCAGCUUGGUGGUGGGGUGAUGGCCUACCAAGGCGGUGACGGGUCGCCGGCAUGAGAGGGCAACCCGGAACAUUGGCACUGCGAAACGGCCCAGACGCGGACGGGGGGCAGCAGUGGGGGAUAUUGCAGAAUGGGCGAAAGCCUGAUGCAGCGAGGACGCGUGGGGGAUGAAGGCUUUCGGGUUGUAAACGUCUUGAGCAAUCGAAUGGGUAGGUGGAGAAGAAGCGCCGGCUAACUACGUGCCAGCAGCCGCGGUAAUUC
RNAcentral lists this ribosomal RNA (408 nucleotides) under uncultured bacterium. Its description in RNAcentral is "partial 16S ribosomal RNA". It matches the Rfam family "Bacterial small subunit ribosomal RNA", at positions 28 to 526 of the family's 1533-position model. The record is from RNAcentral.